This 460-nucleotide ribosomal RNA is filed under the name uncultured bacterium. RNAcentral describes it as "partial 16S ribosomal RNA". It matches the Rfam family "Bacterial small subunit ribosomal RNA", at positions 338 to 795 of the family's 1533-position model. The record is from RNAcentral.
CCUACGGGUGGCAGCAGUGAGGAAUAUUGGUCAAUGGGCGCGAGCCUGAACCAGCCAAGUAGCGUGAAGGAUGACUGCCCUACGGGUUGUAAACUUCUUUUAUAAAGGAAUAAAGUGAGGCACGUGUGCCUUCUUGUAGGUACUUGAUGAAUAAGGAUCGGCUAACUCCGUGCCAGCAGCCGCGGUAAUACGGAGGAUCCGAGCGUUAUCCGGAUUUAUUGGGUUUAAAGGGAGCGUAGAUGGGUUGUUAAGUCAGUUGUGAAAGGUUGCGGCUCAAACGUAAAAUUGCAAUUGAUACUGGCAGUCUUGAGUACAGUUGAGGUAGGCGGAAUUCGUGGUGUAGCGGUGAAAUGCUUAGAUAUCACGCAGAACUCCGAUUGCGAAGGCAGCUUACUAAACUGCCACUGACAUUGCUGCUCGAACGUGUGGGUAUCAAACAGGAUUAGAUACCCGGGUAGUC